This 440-nucleotide ribosomal RNA is filed under the name uncultured bacterium. Its description in RNAcentral is "partial 16S ribosomal RNA". It matches the Rfam family "Bacterial small subunit ribosomal RNA", at positions 338 to 795 of the family's 1533-position model. The record is from RNAcentral.
CCUACGGGAGGCAGCAGUGGGGGAUAUUGCACAAUGGGGGGAACCCUGAUGCAGCGACGCCGCGUGGGUGAAGAAGCGCCUCGGCGCGUAAAGCCCUGUCAGCAGGGAAGAAAAUGACGGUACCUGAAGAAGAAGACCCGGCUAACUACGUGCCAGCAGCCGCGGGAAUACGUAGGGGGCAAGCGUUAUCCGGAUUUACUGGGUGGAAAGGGGGCGCAGACGGCGAUGCAAGCCAGGAGUGAAAGCCCGGGGCCCAACCCCGGGACUGCUCUUGGAACUGCGUGGCUGGAGUGCAGGAGGGGCAGGCGGAAUUCCUGGUGUAGCGGUGAAAUGCGUAGAUAUUAGGAGGAACACCAGUUGCGAAGGCGGCUCUCUGGACUGUAACUGACACUGAGGCACGAAAGCGUGGGGAGCAAACAGGAUUAGAUACCCUUGUAGUC